CCCUUAGAUGUUCUGGGCCGCACGCGCGCUACACUGACUACUUCAACGAGUUGUUUCCUUGAUCGAAAGGUCUGGGUAAUCUUUGAAAGGUAGUCGUGAUGGGGAUAGAUCCUUGCAAUUUUUGAUCUUCAACGAGGAAUUCCUAGUAAACGCAAGUCAUCAGCUUGCAUUGAUUACGUCCCUGCCCUUUGUACACACCGCCCGUCGCCCCUACCGAUUGAAUGGUCCGGUGAAUCUUUAGGACUGUGGCUGAGGCCUUGCCUUGUGCGGGUCUGGCCGUGGGAAUUUAGUUAAACCUUACCAUUUAGAGGAAGGUGAAGUCGUAACA
Molecule: ribosomal RNA, 328 nt
Filed under: uncultured eukaryote
Lineage: Eukaryota
Description: partial 18S ribosomal RNA
Rfam family: Eukaryotic small subunit ribosomal RNA
Source: RNAcentral